This 252-nucleotide unclassified non-coding RNA is filed under the name Hevea brasiliensis (rubber tree). Lineage: Eukaryota; Viridiplantae; Streptophyta; Magnoliopsida; Malpighiales; Euphorbiaceae. The record is from RNAcentral.
GCAGCGGCUGCGCGAAGUCGCCGAGCGCGAAGGCUGCAAGGUUUCAGUGCUGGUGCAGCGCGCGUCCGAACUCGACUGGUCGAAGUUCGAGGGCAUCAAGACCCUCGGCAUCACCGCAGGCGCCUCGGCGCCGGAAGUGAUCGUCGAGGAAAUCAUGGACGCGUUCGCGGCCCACUAUCAUCUGAAGGUGGAAACCGUGUCGGCGGCGAUGGAGAACGAAUUUUUCCCGCUGCCGCGCCCGCUGCGGAACGA